RNAcentral lists this transfer RNA (73 nucleotides) under Cordylochernes scorpioides. Its description in RNAcentral is "tRNA-Thr". The record is from RNAcentral. Lineage: Eukaryota; Metazoa; Arthropoda; Arachnida; Pseudoscorpiones; Chernetidae.
GUCCUGGGAUGGGAAACGAACCCACAGUGUUCCGCUUACUGGGCAGAUACCAUGUCCACUAGGCUACCCUGGA